ACACGAGAGAGGAGGUGGUCCGUAACUUUGCUGAGCUACAGGACUCGUGAGGUGGCUGUCCGCUAGCCGCCGUCCAGAUGGGCCGCCCGUUCAGACUCAUGUCUGAGCGACGGCAGAUCGCCCGUCCGUCGUACGGCGGCGAGCGAGAACCGGACAGUCACCCGACCCCCGGGCCGCCGACAGUUGUCCAGUCGGCCCGCGUGCAGCUCCCUCUCCGGAGGUCAGCGCCGCGGAGCAGCCCGGGGGUUGUCCGUG
Molecule: small RNA, 255 nt
Filed under: Blastococcus saxobsidens DD2
Lineage: Bacteria; Bacillati; Actinomycetota; Actinomycetes; Geodermatophilales; Geodermatophilaceae
Description: Actinobacteria sRNA Ms_IGR-5
Rfam family: Actinobacteria sRNA Ms_IGR-5
Source: Rfam by way of RNAcentral